CAGAGGUCUCAAGCGUUGUUCGGAUUCAUUGGGCGUAAAGGGUGCGUAGGUGGCGGGGCAAGUCUGGUGUGAAAUCCCGGGGCUCAACCCCGGAACUGCACUGGAUACUGCCUUGCUAGAGCACUGGAGAGGGAACUGGAAUUUACGGUGUAGCAGUGAAAUGCGUAGAUAUCGUAAGGAAGACCAGUGGCGAAGGCGAGUUCCUGGACAGUUGCUGACACUGAGGCACGAAGGCUAGGGGAGCAAACGGGAUUAGAUACCCCGGUAGUCCUAGCAGUAAACGGUGCGCGUUUGGUGUAGGAGGAUUCGACCCCUUCUGUGCCGGAGCUAACGCGUUAAACGCGCCGCCUGGGGAGUACGGUCGCAAGAUUA
Molecule: ribosomal RNA, 372 nt
Filed under: uncultured organism
Description: bacterial SSU rRNA
Rfam family: Bacterial small subunit ribosomal RNA
Source: RNAcentral